GCUUACGGCCACACCGCCUGGUUCACGCCCCAUCUCGUUUGAUCUCGGAAGAUAAGAUAGGUUGGGCCUGGUUAGUACUUGGAUGGGAGACCGCCUAGGGAUACCAGGUGCUGUAAGGC
This 119-nucleotide ribosomal RNA is filed under the name Scophthalmus maximus (turbot). The record is from RNAcentral. Lineage: Eukaryota; Metazoa; Chordata; Actinopteri; Pleuronectiformes; Scophthalmidae.